RNAcentral lists this ribosomal RNA (431 nucleotides) under uncultured gamma proteobacterium 400m-ATT-16. Its description in RNAcentral is "bacterial SSU rRNA". It matches the Rfam family "Bacterial small subunit ribosomal RNA", at positions 8 to 441 of the family's 1533-position model. The record is from RNAcentral. Lineage: Bacteria; Pseudomonadati; Pseudomonadota; Gammaproteobacteria.
AGAAGUUGAUCAUAGCUCAGAUUGAACGCUGGCGGCAGGCCUAACACAUGCAAGUCGAGCGGUAACAGAAAGUAGCUUGCUACUUUGCUGACGAGCGGCGGACGGGUGAGUAAUGCUUGGGAACAUGCCUUGAGGUGGGGGACAACAGUUGGAAACGACUGCUAAUACCGCAUAAUGUCUACGGACCAAAGGGGGCUUCGGCUCUCGCCUUUAGAUUGGCCCAAGUGGGAUUAGCUAGUUGGUGAGGUAAUGGCUCAUCAAGACAACGAUCCCUAGCUGGUUUGAGAGGAUGAUCAGCCACACUGGAACUGAGACACGGUCCAGACUCCUACGGGAGGCAGCAGUGGGGAAUAUUGCACAAUGGGCGAAAGCCUGAUGCAGCCAUGCCGCGUGUGUGAAGAAGGCCUUCGGGUUGUAAAGCACUUUCAGUC